GGGGCUGUAGCUCAGUGGCAGAGCAUGUUCUUGGCAUGUGCAAGACCCUGGGCUCAAAUCCUAGCACCA
Molecule: transfer RNA, 69 nt
Filed under: Fukomys damarensis (Damara mole-rat)
Lineage: Eukaryota; Metazoa; Chordata; Mammalia; Rodentia; Bathyergidae
Rfam family: tRNA
About the family: Transfer RNA (tRNA) molecules are approximately 80 nucleotides in length. Their secondary structure includes four short double-helical elements and three loops (D, anti-codon, and T loops).
Source: Rfam by way of RNAcentral